CCCUGCACGUUCGGGAUAAGCGUUAGGGAAACGUGGGUCUAAUACCGGAUAGGAGCCAUCUUUAGUGUGGUGGUUGGAAAGUUUUUUCGGUGUAGGAUGAGCUCGCGGCCUAUCAGCUUGUUGGUGGGGUAAUGGCCUACCAAGGCGGCGACGGGUAGCCGGCCUGAGAGGGUGUACGGCCACAUUGGGACUGAGAUACGGCCCAG
RNAcentral lists this ribosomal RNA (206 nucleotides) under uncultured Actinomycetales bacterium. Its description in RNAcentral is "partial 16S ribosomal RNA". It matches the Rfam family "Bacterial small subunit ribosomal RNA", at positions 129 to 334 of the family's 1533-position model. The record is from RNAcentral. Lineage: Bacteria; Bacillati; Actinomycetota; Actinomycetes; Actinomycetales.